Molecule: long non-coding RNA, 705 nt
Organism: Medicago truncatula (barrel medic)
Lineage: Eukaryota; Viridiplantae; Streptophyta; Magnoliopsida; Fabales; Fabaceae
Exons: 2
Source: RefSeq, a predicted model, not a curated record
AUAUCUUUUUUUUCUUUCUGGUGUCCUGUGUAUCUUUGUUUACAAAUAAUUUUUGUAAAACUUCACUGCCUCUUUGAAUACAUUAAUGAUUUCUUAUGUGAUUCAUCCAACUUCAAUUUGACGAAGUCAACACUUGUCUAGAAUUUCAGAUCGGGUAGUUUGAUCAACUUAAAUAGUGUUAAUAUGUUCUCAAUGUUUGAUCCAAUUGGUCUAACUAACCGAUCCGAUCUAGGUUUGAUAACAAUAGAUGAAUGUGAAGAUGACGAUGAAGAUGCUCUUGUAAAAAUAAUCAUCACUCUCAAAAAUCAAAUCGACGAAAUACCAAAGUCUUCUCUUCAAUUAUCACAAGAAUCAGAAAGCAAUCAAGGAAGAGCAAUUUCUGAUAGAGUCUUGUGUCAAUGGAAGCACUUCACGUCGCAGAAGACGAAGUUCUCCUUAUGAAUUACGAAAAGCUCGUGAGAGAGGGAGUUCAUCAAAAUCAACACCCGAUUCUUGAACCUGGUAUUGGGUGACUUUAAUUCGAUGAUAAACUUUCUCUGUUGCUUUGUGUUUUAAUUAAGCUAGCAUUUGGUUGUAGCUCAUGUUUAUAUUGUUGUAAAUUCUUCUUCCACUUCUUGUACUUGUUAAGUUUUAAUAGUAUUUUUGCUCAAACAAAGUUUUAAUAAUAUUAAUCUCCUCUGAAAAAACUUAAUAUUAAUCUCUUUU